CGAGAAAUCCCGUCGGAAGCAGGGAGGACCAUCUCCCAAGGCUAAAUACUCCCUAGUGACCGAUAGUGAACCAGUACCGUGAGGGAAAGGUGAAAAGCACCCCGGAAGGGGAGUGAAAUAGAUCCUGAAACCGUGUGCCUACAAGUAGUUAGAGCCCAUUUAUGGGUGAUAGCGUGCCUUUUGUAGAAUGAACCGGCGAGUUACGAUUACAUGCGAGGUUAAGUUGAAGAGACGGAGCCGCAGCGAAAGCGAGUCUGAAUAGGGCGAAAUAGUAUGUGGUUGUAGACCCGAAACCAGGUGAUCUACCCAUGUCCAGGGUGAAGUCCAGGUAACACUGGAUGGAGGCCCGAACCCACGCACGUUGAAAAGUGCGGGGAUGAGGUGUGGGUAGCGGAGAAAUUCCAAUCGAACUU
This 413-nucleotide ribosomal RNA is filed under the name Niallia circulans. RNAcentral's name for it is "bacterial LSU rRNA". It matches the Rfam family "Bacterial large subunit ribosomal RNA", at positions 425 to 840 of the family's 2925-position model. Lineage: Bacteria; Bacillati; Bacillota; Bacilli; Caryophanales; Bacillaceae. The record is from RNAcentral.